RNAcentral lists this ribosomal RNA (459 nucleotides) under uncultured bacterium. RNAcentral describes it as "partial 16S ribosomal RNA". It matches the Rfam family "Bacterial small subunit ribosomal RNA", at positions 338 to 795 of the family's 1533-position model. The record is from RNAcentral.
CCUACGGGGUGCUGCAGUGAGGAAUAUUGGUCAAUGGCCGGAAGGCUGAACCAGCCAUGCCGCGUGAAGGUCAGUGCCCUAUGGGCGUUAAACUUCUUUUGUGCGGGAGCAAUAAUGGUCACGUGUGGCCAGACGAGAGUACCGUACGAAUAAGCAUCGGCUAACUCCGUUCCAGCAGCCGCGGUAAUACGGGGGAUGCAAGCGUUAUCCGGAUUUAUUGGGUGUAAAGGGUGCGUAGGCGGCCCUGCAAGUCAGAAGUGAAAUCCAUGGGCUUAACCCGUGAACUGCUUUUGAAACUGUAGGGCUGGAGUGAAGUAGAGGCAGGCGGAAUUCCCGGUGUAGCGGUGAAAGGCGUAGAGAUCGGGAGGAACACCAGUGGCGAAGGCGGCCUGCUGGGCUUUAACUGACGCUGAAGCACGAAAGCGUGGGUAGCAAACAGGAUUAGAUACCCGAGUAGUC